This 207-nucleotide ribosomal RNA is filed under the name uncultured bacterium. RNAcentral describes it as "partial 16S ribosomal RNA". It matches the Rfam family "Bacterial small subunit ribosomal RNA", at positions 568 to 774 of the family's 1533-position model. The record is from RNAcentral.
CGCGUAGGCGGGUCUUCAAGUUUGGGGUGAAAUCCUCCGGCUCAACCGGAGAACUGCCUCGAAUACUGAAGGUCUCGAGGGGGAUAGGGGCAUGCGGAACUACGGGUGGAGCGGUGAAAUGCGUUGAUAUCCGUAGGAACUCCGGUGGCGAAGGCGGCGUGCUGGAUCCCUUCUGACGCUGAGGCGCGAAAGCCAGGGGAGCAAACG